UGAGGAAUAAGCUUUGUAGGAAAUGACAAAGUGAUGACGUUAGUUUAUGAAUAAGCCCCGGCUAAUUACGUGCCAGCAGCCGCGGUAAUACGUAAGGGGCGAGCGUUGUUCGGGAUCAUUGGGCGUAAAGGGUGAGUAAGCGGAUAUGUAAGUCUAUGUGUAAAAUACCAUAGCUCAACUGUGGAACUAUGCUAGAAACUGCAUGACUAGAGUCUGAUAGGGGAAGUUAGAAUUCCUGGUGUAAGGGUGGAAUCUGUUGAUAUCAGGAAGAAUACCAGAGGCGAAGGCGAACUUCUAGGUCAAGACUGACGCUGAGUCACGAAAGCA
RNAcentral lists this ribosomal RNA (327 nucleotides) under uncultured Borrelia sp. Its description in RNAcentral is "bacterial SSU rRNA". It matches the Rfam family "Bacterial small subunit ribosomal RNA", at positions 443 to 761 of the family's 1533-position model. The record is from RNAcentral. Lineage: Bacteria; Pseudomonadati; Spirochaetota; Spirochaetia; Spirochaetales; Borreliaceae.